GGUCAAGGUCAAGCAUGCCCCUAUUUCACUUGAGCCAUUUGCAACCCUACAAACCAUGACAUGUGGUUGCUUGUUACUUGUGAAAGGCAAAUCGAUUUUUUUUUUUUGAUAAGAAAAUGGAGUGAAGGGGCAUGACCAGCGUAGCUACCCCCUCCAGGUGUGACCAUGUAGGCCCCCAGUCUGCUGGGGAAUAUUCGAUACAAGGUGACAAUGGAAGCCAGCUCAAUACUUCUCCACUAUGUGUGGGGCCUAUGGCCUCCCCAUCGGGUGGGCAUAUCACCCCAGCACCACCCAAGCACAGAGGGACCGGAUACCACCCCUCAUCGCCAGUGUCCAGGUAUCGAAUUAUAUCCUCAUUUAAUCGACUCCUCAUGUAGCUCGAACCUCAAACAUAAGGGUAAGCGGGCAAAGGCUCAUUCCAACUGGGCUACCACCUGCAUGGUAAAGACUAAUUGGUUUUAACCUUUUUUUUUGGAAGGCAGGUCAAAGACUUCUUAAUUUAUUUGAAGAAUGACAUAAAGAAGUGGGUUUUAAGGCUUCGUUCAAUUAUGGACAAUGCUUUAAUUUUUAAUAUGACUAAUUUUAAAACUCCCAGCCCCAAAUAAGUUUAACUUUUGGUUCACAUAUGUCUAAAUAAAAAUUCUUUGUGCACUGCCCUUGGUGUAGAAAAUCU
Molecule: long non-coding RNA, 673 nt
Filed under: Elaeis guineensis (African oil palm)
Lineage: Eukaryota; Viridiplantae; Streptophyta; Magnoliopsida; Arecales; Arecaceae
Description: long non-coding RNA (EGUI_LNC076550)
Source: RNAcentral